GAUGAAGAACGUAGCGAAAUGCGAUACGUAAUGUGAAUUGCAGAAUUCAGUGAGUCAUCGAGUCUUUGAACGCACAUUGCGCCCCCUGGUAUUCCGGGGGGCAUGCCUGUCCGAGCGUCAUUGCUGCCCUCAAGCACGGCUUGUGUGUUGGGCCUCCGUCCUCCUCCCGGGGGACGGGCCCGAAAGGCAGCGGCGGCACCGCGUCCGGUCCUCGAGCGUAUGGGGCUUCGUCACCCGCUCUUGUAGGCCCGGCCGGCGCUUGCCGACACAUCAAUCUUUUUUCCAGGUUGACCUCGGAUCAGGUAGGGAUACCCGCUGAACUUAAGCAUAUCAAUAAGCGGAGGA
This 345-nucleotide unclassified non-coding RNA is filed under the name soil metagenome. RNAcentral describes it as "partial contains 5.8S ribosomal RNA, internal transcribed spacer 2, and large subunit ribosomal RNA". The stretch from base 1 to 120 matches the Rfam family "5.8S ribosomal RNA", at positions 35 to 154 of the family's 154-position model. The record is from RNAcentral.